CUGGCUCAGGACGGACGCUGGCGGCACGCUUAACACAUGCAAGUCAACGGGUCAUUGAGCUUGCUUGAUAGACUAGUGGCGACGGGUGAGUAACACGUGAGCAACCUGCCUUCAAGCGAGGAAUAAUGAGUGGAAACGCUCUGUAAUACCUCACAACGUAUUUUUACCGCAUGAUAGGAAUACCAAAGAUUUAUCACUUGAAGAUGGGCUCGCGUCCGAUUAGCUAGUUGGUGAGGUAACGGCUCACCAAGGCGACGAUCGGUAGCCGUACUGAGAGGUAGAUCGGCCACAUUGGGACUGAGACACGGCCCAGACUCCUACGGGAGGCAGCAGUGGGGAAUAUUGCACAAUGGAGGAAACUCUGAUGCCAGCGAUGCCGCGUGAGCGAAGAAGGCCUUUUGGUUGUAAAGCUCUGUUAUCAGGGACGAAAAUGACGGUACCUGAGGAGGAAGCUCCGGCUAACUACGUGCCAGCCGCCGC
RNAcentral lists this ribosomal RNA (480 nucleotides) under uncultured bacterium. Its description in RNAcentral is "bacterial SSU rRNA". It matches the Rfam family "Bacterial small subunit ribosomal RNA", at positions 19 to 518 of the family's 1533-position model. The record is from RNAcentral.